Molecule: ribosomal RNA, 369 nt
Filed under: uncultured organism
Description: bacterial SSU rRNA
Rfam family: Bacterial small subunit ribosomal RNA
Source: RNAcentral
CAUGUGGGGCAAGCGUUGUUCGGAAUUACUGGGCAUAGAGGGAGCGUAGGCGGCUUGCCAAGUCGCAGGUGAAAGUUUUCGGCCCAACCGGAAAAGUGCCUGCGAUACUGGCGAGCUUGAGUGCGCGAGGGUUGGGGGAACGAGCAGUGUAGCGGUGAAAUGCGUAGAUAUUGCUCGGAAGGCCGGAGCCGAAGGGGCCCAACUGGUACGCAACUGACGCUGAGGCACGAAAGCGUGGGGAGCAAACAGGAUUAGAUACCCUGGUAGUCCACGCCGUAAACGAUGAGCACUAGGUGGGUGCCGAGCUAUCGGUGCCCGCCGCAGCUAAUUUGAUAAGUGCUCCGCCUGGGGAGUAUGGUCGCAAGGCUG